This is a long non-coding RNA of Centruroides sculpturatus (bark scorpion), 457 nucleotides long. RefSeq lists it as uncharacterized. Lineage: Eukaryota; Metazoa; Arthropoda; Arachnida; Scorpiones; Buthidae. The transcript has 3 exons. The record is from RefSeq and is a predicted model, not a curated record.
UUCAUUUGAAGAAAUAUAAACGUUGUUUUUUCUAUAAAUUAUUUAACAAUCGACGUUAAUAAUAAUUUUAAAAUAUUUAAAAUUCAAACGUCAUAUCGAGUAGUGGUAUCUGCCCAUAGCAACAGAAUGAGGUCGCUCCUUGCUGAAGCUGUUAGUUAUCAAUCAGUUUAUUAUAGCUUAUGAGAAGAAAGUACAAUUUAUGAUUAUUUUAAAGAAUUUCUGAAGAAAAUAAGCAUUUACUUUACGGAAUUCAGAAAGAUUAGUGUAAAUGCUGUAUAGAAUGGAAGGUGACUAUACAACUAUACCAGUGAAAUCAAAGAAAACAAAAGCUGUUGACAUUGAGGAAGGAUCACCUAGGAAAAGAAGACGAACUGCUGAAGAUUUUUUUACAUUUUGCAAAUACAUUUUAGAAUAUGAAAAUUAUGAAGCUACAAAAGAAGAGGUAAUUUUUAUUCAU